Long non-coding RNA from Ochotona princeps (American pika), 378 nucleotides. RefSeq lists it as uncharacterized. The transcript has 3 exons. The record is from RefSeq and is a predicted model, not a curated record. NCBI's taxonomy places the organism in Eukaryota, Metazoa, Chordata, Mammalia, Lagomorpha, Ochotonidae.
GGGCCAGGAAAGACCUACUUAGGAGGCCUGCGAACAUCAGAUACCAUCACCUGCAGCUCUGCUCAUCUUACAUCUUACAUCUGCAGGUCACAUCAAAUGACAUCCAGGAUCAGUCAUUGAGAUGACGCAGGUGCUUUUGAGGUCACUGGGGCACGGAUGUCACUCAGUAACAUAAGGCAGUCAGGUAAUCCAUUUCAAGCUUGACAAGAAAACUGAUCCAUCACCCAACGCUACUUACCUGACGUCGAUCCUGUGGGAGAUAAGGAGUCCACAGCCCACGGUGUUAAGUCAGGCAUCCCAGUGUCAUAGCAGUUGGACUAAAUGUGUGGCUCAGCAAUGCCCAACAUGGCAUCAUUGAAAACUGGCGAGAAACACAAG